AUGGAGACGCUCCUGAUCGGCCCGUUGGUGAUCUUGGGGCUACAACUGACAUGGGUGAGCGGCCAGACAAAGCCGAAGCAGACUCCUCCGUCCCUGAACAUCCGGGAGGGGGAGAGCCCCACUCUGUACUGCAAUGACUUCGAGAAGACCAUUCGAUCUUUGCAGUGGUACCGGCAGGAUUAUGGGAAAAGUCCAGUCUUCCUAUUUCUACUGGCAUUAAAGAAUGAUGUAAAGCGGGACCGAAGACUGACUGCUACAAUCGAUAAAGGAAAUCAAACCAGCUCCCUGCACAUCAGGGAUGCCAAGCCCGGAGACUCAGCCACCUACCUCUGUGCCGUGGAGACACAGUGA
Molecule: non-coding RNA, 351 nt
Organism: Ornithorhynchus anatinus (platypus)
Lineage: Eukaryota; Metazoa; Chordata; Mammalia; Monotremata; Ornithorhynchidae
Source: the annotation of a RefSeq genome assembly